AGUGAACGCUGGCGGUAGGCCUAACACAUGCAAGUCGAACGGCAGCACAGUAAGAGCUUGCUCUUACGGGUGGCGAGUGGCGGACGGGUGAGGAAUACAUCGGAAUCUACUUUUUCGUGGGGGAUAACGUAGGGAAACUUACGCUAAUACCGCAUACGACCUACGGGUGAAAGCAGGGGAGCUUCGGACCUUUCGCGAUUGUAUGAGCCGAUGUCGGAUUAGCUAGUUGGCGGGGUAAAGGCCCACCAAGGCGACGAUCCGUAGCUGGUCUGAGAGGAUGAUCAGCCACACUGGAACUGAGACACGGUCCAGACUCCUACGGGAGGCAGCAGUGGGGAAUAUUGGACAAUGGGCGCAAGCCUGAUCCAGCCAUACCGCGUGGGUGAAGAAGGCCUUCGGGUUGUAAAGCCCUUUUGUUGGGAAAGAAAAGCAGCAGGUUAAUACCCCGCUGUUCUGACGGUACCCAAAGAAUAAGCACCGGCUAACUUCGUG
RNAcentral lists this ribosomal RNA (492 nucleotides) under uncultured bacterium. RNAcentral describes it as "partial 16S ribosomal RNA". It matches the Rfam family "Bacterial small subunit ribosomal RNA", at positions 29 to 507 of the family's 1533-position model. The record is from RNAcentral.